Molecule: ribosomal RNA, 809 nt
Filed under: uncultured fungus
Lineage: Eukaryota; Fungi
Description: eukaryotic LSU rRNA
Rfam family: 5.8S ribosomal RNA (bases 195-348)
Source: RNAcentral
GACCUCCGUAGUGACCUGCGGAGGGACAUUACCGAGUGGAGGGCGCCCCGGCGCCCGACCUCCCAACCCUUUGAUUGAUCAAGACCUCUCUCUGCCUCGGGGGUGACCCGGCCCUCGGGCCGCGAUCCCCCCGGCGGCGCCUCCCAACCAACCCUGCAUCAAUCGUCGUCGGAUAUUGAAGCGAAUUCAAUCAAAACUUUCAACAACGGAUCUCUUGGUUCUGGCAUCGAUGAAGAACGCAGCGAAAUGCGAUAAGUAAUGUGAAUUGCAGAAUUCAGUGAAUCAUCGAGUCUUUGAACGCACAUUGCGCCCCCUGGUAUUCCGGGGGGCAUGCCUGUCCGAGCGUCAUUGCUGCCCUCAAGCACGGCUUGUGUGUUGGGCUCCGUCCUCCUUCCGGGGGACGGGCCCGAAAGGCAGCGGCGGCACCGCGUCCGGUCCUCGAGCGUAUGGGGCUUCGUCACCCGCUCUGUAGGCCCGGCCGGCGCUUGCCGACACAUCAAUCUUUUUUCCAGGUUGACCUCGGAUCAGGUAGGGAUACCCGCUGAACUUAAGCAUAUCAUAAAACGAGAGAAAGAUCCGUUGUUGAGAGUGUUGAAUCGAAUUCGCUUCAAUAUCCGACGACGAUUGAUGCAGGGUUGGUUGGGAGGCGCCGCCGGGGGGGAUCGCGGCCCGAGGGAAGGUCACCCCCGAGGCAGAGAGAGGUCUUGAUCAAUCAAAGGGUUGGGAGAUCGGCGCAGGGGCGCCCUCAACUCGGUAAUGAUCCCUCAGCAGUUCACCUACGGAGACCUUGUUACGACUUUACUUCUCUA